RNAcentral lists this long non-coding RNA (1857 nucleotides) under Homo sapiens (human). RNAcentral describes it as "long non-coding RNA NONHSAT183296.1". The record is from RNAcentral. Lineage: Eukaryota; Metazoa; Chordata; Mammalia; Primates; Hominidae.
GCGAGGCGAGGAGGGCCGGGCCGCCACGGUGGGGCGAAAAGCCCUGAAAGUUCCUCUCAGUUCCUUCCGGUGCGCCUCCCGCUCGCCCUUGCGGAGGCCCUGAGGGCGGAUUCAAGGCCCCGCGAGAAGCCAUCUGAGGCGGCGACGACUGUUCUCAGCCCCACGGGAACGCCGCGGACGCAGCGUCCCUCUCCCGGACAAGAAAACAGCCAUUCUAGAGUUUGACUGAUAUUACAAAGGAUCCAGACUUUAAUGAAAUCUAUGAUGAAGACGUGAAUGAAGAUCCAACAUAUGAUCCCAACAGCCCUGAAGAAACAGCUGUAUUUAUGAAAUAUGCUGAAAAUAUUAUGCUAAAGUUAACAUUCAGUACCACACAAAUUCAACAGUAUGAAAAUGUCUUUAUAUUUGAAACAGGCUAUUGGCUUACUAAUGCUAUAAAAUAUAAUCAGGAUUAUCUUGAUAUCUGUACCUACCAGAGACUACAGCAAAGAUUAUAUCUUCAAAAAAAGAUUAUUCAAAAACACUUUGAGAAGAAAAAAGAUAUCAGAAGAGGGAUAGGAUACCUAAAGUUAAUAUGUUUUCUGAUUCCAUUUCUACUGAGUUUAAAGAAGAAAAUGAAAGUUCCAUAUUUAAGUAGUCUGCUUCAGCCUUUUUCAGGAAUCAGUGCACUCCACUGUUACUUGCUGCCACUUCAGGAGCACUGGACACUAUUCAAUACCUGUUUUCUAUCGGUGCUAACUGGAGAAAAACAGAUAUUAAAGGAAAUAAUAUAAUCCAUUUAUCAGUGUUAACCUUUCAUACAGAGGUUCUCAAAUAUAUAAUAAAAUUAAAUAUUCCUGAACUCCCAGUGUGGAAAACUUUGGUAGGCACCAUUCCUGCCUUAAUCAAUCUAUUAAAAAGUUCCAAAAUAAAACUGCAGUGCAAAACUGUUGGGUUAUUGAGUAAUAUCUCAACCCACAAAAGUGCAGUGCAUGCUUUGGUAGAAGCGGGAGGCAUUCCAUCUCUAAUCAACCUACUGGUUUGUGAUGAGCCUGAAGUACACUCUCGCUGUGCUGUCAUUCUAUAUGAUAUUGCUCAAUGUGAAAACAAGGAUGUUAUUGCCAAAUAUGUAAGUUCCUUUCAUAUACAAUUAUUUUUGACUGACAAUAACUCCCUCAUAUAGAAGUUACAAAAAUAGAAACCCACGUUACUAUUCAGUGACAAAACUCUCAGGGAAGAAUACAGCAGGGAAAAGGGAGAGAGGGUGCCUGAUGAAAACUCCACCGAAAAGUUGGCAUUUGAGUACGGUCCAGAAGUAGAUGAGGGAGUAUUUUCAUAAGUUAGUGUAUGUUGAUUGCUUCUUGCUGUUUACCAAUUACAGUGCAGUGUCUACAAUGGCAAAUAUUUCCUAAUGGGGCAAUAUAUUCAAUUAAUCUCAUUUGCUUCACUUAGAUAGCUAUAUUAACUGUCACAUAAUGUAUCUUAUCAGUAGACACAUUUGUUUGUGGCACUCAUUCUCUCCCAAAUAGUUAUUUACAGCAAGAAAGAUUACAGACUUGUGUUUCUUUUUUUCUUUUUUUUUUUGAAACAGUCUUGCUCUGUCACCAGGCUGGGGUGCAAUGGUGCAAUCUUGGCUCACUGCAACCUCUGCCUCGUGGGUUCAAGUGAUUCUCCUGCCUCAUCCUCCCGAGUAGCUGGAACUACAGGCACGUGCCACCACGCCUGGCUAAUUUUUGUAUUUUUAGUAGAGAUGGGGUUUCACCAUGUUGGCCAGGAUGGUCUUGAUCUCUUGACCUUGUGAUCCGCCUGCCUCGGCCUCCCAAAGUGCUGGGAUUACAGGCGUGAGCCACCACUUCCGGCCAACUUGUAUUUCUAAAU